Molecule: non-coding RNA, 25 nt
Filed under: Mus musculus (house mouse)
Lineage: Eukaryota; Metazoa; Chordata; Mammalia; Rodentia; Muridae
Source: RNAcentral
UAGAAGCUUGCAGACAUCUUGUGGA